GGGUGAUGAGCUCAGCUGGGAGAGCAUCGGCCUUACAAGCAGAGGGUGGGCGGUUCGAUCCCGUCAUCACCCA
Molecule: transfer RNA, 73 nt
Filed under: Pseudomonas aeruginosa
Lineage: Bacteria; Pseudomonadati; Pseudomonadota; Gammaproteobacteria; Pseudomonadales; Pseudomonadaceae
Description: tRNA-Val
Rfam family: tRNA
About the family: Transfer RNA (tRNA) molecules are approximately 80 nucleotides in length. Their secondary structure includes four short double-helical elements and three loops (D, anti-codon, and T loops).
Source: RNAcentral